This 352-nucleotide ribosomal RNA is filed under the name uncultured bacterium. Its description in RNAcentral is "SSU rRNA". It matches the Rfam family "Bacterial small subunit ribosomal RNA", at positions 26 to 372 of the family's 1533-position model. The record is from RNAcentral.
AGAACGAACGCUGGCGGCGUGGAUAAGACAUGCAAGUCGAACGCGAUUUAUCGAGUUAGCAAUAACUUGGUAAAUUGAGUGGCGAAAGGGCGCGUAACACGUGGGAAAUUACCAAGAAGUGGGGGAUAGCUUGGCGAAAGCCAAAUUAAUACCGCAUAUGAUCGCAAGAUCAAAGCCGGGGACCGCAAGGCCUGGCGCUUUUUGAGAUGCCCGCGGCCCAUCAGCUAGUUGGUGAGGUAAAAGCUCACCAAGGCUAUGACGGGUAGCUGGUCUGAGAGGACGACCAGCCACACUGGAACUGAGACACGGUCCAGACACCUACGGGUGGCAGCAGUCGAGAAUUUUUCACAAU